This 404-nucleotide ribosomal RNA is filed under the name Actinomycetes bacterium. RNAcentral's name for it is "Actinobacteria bacterium partial 16S ribosomal RNA". It matches the Rfam family "Bacterial small subunit ribosomal RNA", at positions 355 to 776 of the family's 1533-position model. Lineage: Bacteria; Bacillati; Actinomycetota; Actinomycetes. The record is from RNAcentral.
UGGGGAAUAUUUGACAAUGGGCGCAAGCCUGAUCCAGCCAUGCCGCGUGAGUGAUGAAGGCCCUAGGGUUGUAAAGCUCUUUCACCGGUGAAGAUAAUGACGGUAACCGGAGCAGAAGCCCCGGCUAACUUCGUGCCAGCAGCCGCGGUAAUACGAAGGGGGCUAGCGUUGUUCGGAUUUACUGGGCGUAAAGCGCACGUAGGCGGACUUUUAAGUCAGGGGUGAAAUCCCGGGGCUCAACCCCGGAACUGCCUUUGAUACUGGAAGUCUUGAGUAUGGUAGAGGUGAGUGGAAUUCCGAGUGUAGAGGUGAAAUUCGUAGAUAUUCGGAGGAACACCAGUGGCGAAGGCGGCUCACUGGACCAUUACUGACGCUGAGGUGCGAAAGCGUGGGGAGCAAACAGG